RNAcentral lists this transfer RNA (76 nucleotides) under Candidatus Bathyarchaeota archaeon RBG_16_57_9. RNAcentral's name for it is "tRNA-Ala". It matches the Rfam family "tRNA". Rfam says of the family: Transfer RNA (tRNA) molecules are approximately 80 nucleotides in length. Their secondary structure includes four short double-helical elements and three loops (D, anti-codon, and T loops). Further hydrogen bonds mediate the characteristic L-shaped molecular structure. tRNAs have two regions of fundamental functional importance: the anti-codon, which is responsible for specific mRNA codon recognition, and the 3' end, to which the tRNAs corresponding amino acid is attached (by aminoacyl-tRNA synthetases). tRNAs cope with the degeneracy of the genetic code in two manners: having more than one tRNA (with a specific anti-codon) for a particular amino acid; and 'wobble' base-pairing, i.e. permitting non-standard base-pairing at the 3rd anti-codon position. The record is from RNAcentral. Lineage: Archaea; Thermoproteati; Candidatus Bathyarchaeota.
GGGCUGGUAGUUCAGGGGUAUGAAUGCCUGGCUUGCAUCCAGGAGGUCGGGGGUUCAAUUCCCCCCCAGUCCACCA